AAGGAUCAUUACAGAGUUCAUGCCCUUACGGGUAGAUCUCCCACCCUUGAAUACUAUACCUUUGUUGCUUUGGCGGGCCGCCUCGGCUGCCGGCUUCGGCUGGUAAGUGCCCGCCAGAGGACCCCUAAACUCUGAAUGUUAAUGUCGUCUGAGUACUAUAUAAUAGUUAAAACUUUCAACAACGGAUCUCUUGGUUCUGGCAUCGAUGAAGAACGCAGCGUAGCCGUGCAUCGAUGUGGAAGUAAAAGUCGUAACAAGGCAUCGAUGAAGAACGCAGCGUAGCCAUCUGCAGCGAUGUGGAAGUAAAAGUCGUAACAAG
This 319-nucleotide unclassified non-coding RNA is filed under the name uncultured fungus. Its description in RNAcentral is "partial contains 18S rRNA, ITS1, 5.8S rRNA, ITS2 and 28S rRNA". Lineage: Eukaryota; Fungi. The record is from RNAcentral.